This 400-nucleotide ribosomal RNA is filed under the name phytoplankton environmental sample. RNAcentral's name for it is "partial small subunit ribosomal RNA". It matches the Rfam family "Eukaryotic small subunit ribosomal RNA", at positions 587 to 985 of the family's 1831-position model. The record is from RNAcentral.
AGCUCCAUUAGCGUAUAUUAAAGUUGUUGCAGUUAAAAAGCUCGUAGUUGGAUUUCGGUGUGGGCCAGUCGGUCGGCCGCAAGGCUUGUUCACUGGCUGGUCUGCUCUCUCAAUCUCAAAGACUGCACGUGCUCUUCACUGUAGUGUGUGUCAGGAUUUGGGACGUUUACUUUGAAAAAAUUAGAGUGUUCAAGGCAGGCUCGCCAGCUUGAAUACAUGAGCAUGGAAUAAUGGAAUAGGACUACGGUCCCUAUUUCGUUGGUUUGACGGACCGAAGUAAUGAUUAAGAGGGACAAUUGGGGGCAUUCGUAUUUAAUUGUCAGAGGUGAAAUUCUUGGAUUUAUGGAAGACGAACUACUGCGAAAGCAUUUACCAAGGAUGUUUUCAUUAAUCAAGAACG